CAUUUGGAGAUCACCAACCUUUCGGAGUCCUGCAAAACCCUUGCAAAGAAGAGAAACAGUUGCAGAAGUGCAGCAACACUUCCCAGCAGUGGAGACUGUUCCCUGAGGGGAUGAUGAUCACCCUCAUCAGACAUACAGAUUUCCCCCCAAAUUCAUCUCAGUAACAAAGAUCACACACAUGAAAUUAAGCUGUUGAAAGCCUUCUGCUGAAGCAUCCUUAAAACUUGGUUCCAGCGAGGGUGCUCUGGAAGGUGCUUCAAGCUCAAGAGAAGAGGCCCUAACUGACUGCUUUCCAAGUAAUGCAGUGCCAGAAUCCUCACUUGCGUCGGGUGGAUGGGAUCCUUGCUAGCUGUAAACAUUCCCUCGGUAGAAGCCAUGGAAAGAAUCAAAUGGGAAAAGCUGGUUUGGCAUUUCGGCUUGCUGAAUUCAGGGAUGAAAAACCGGAGGGGUCUAAUCCAACAGACAGAUUUGGGCAGAGGCUGAAAGUAGCCAGCAAGAUCAGUCUGUGGAUCAAAGAUUUGGAGACAGAGGACAGUGGAGCAUGUAAAGUUUGUGUGAGAUUUGUUACAAAAGUGUUUCAAGAUCACACCUUCCUCCUUUAUGUAUAUGGUAAGUAAAAAUUUCACUGUUUGGGUCUACUAGUUGUGAAACAUAACAUGGGAUCUCUUUCGGGAAAUUUAUAAAACGAUAUCUGAGUAUAACCAAACACGGUCAGGAAGGGGGAAAAUCAGUUCCCCCCCCCCCCCGGAAUAAUGACUGAAAUGGACAUCCCAGAAGGUGCACCACAAGCAAACUUCACCGAUGCAGCACAAGCACAAGAGACGUGUCAGAGGCGAGAAGAUGUGGUCAGAUAAACUUCAGAAAUAGAUGCAGCCUUAACUAGUAUUUGCUGGCCUGCUGUUUUGCAUCUAGGCUCUCUGACAUUUAAACUGCAGGAAGAGGGUUUGUUCUCACAGGUUGAUAUUUAUAACACAGCUACAACAACGGCUGAUAUCUUCUAUAUCUGAGAAGUGGGAGGAGAAAGCCAAGGGUGGACGUAUGGCCACAGGAAACAGUCAGUGUCCUCAACAUCCAUCUCUCAGGGCCCAUCCAUACCUUGGCUCAGUGUGGAUUAUGAACCCCUCGUGCAUCUUCUAAUUCCCCCCCCCCUUGUCCAUGUCGCCUUCUCCUUCCACUUCUGCUGCCCCCGACUUUCUCAUCCCUAAAUCUGCACAUGUCCUAUGCAAUCAAUGCAGCUCUCCUAUUGAGAUUUCUAAAGCAUAGGGGAUCUCUGGCUUAGGGAGAAGAAAGCACAGGGAAGCAGGAGUUGGAGGAGAAAGCUAUAUGGAUGAAGGUGGAAUUAGAAGAUGCACAAGGGGUUCACAAUCCAUAUUAAGGAGAGGUGUGG
Molecule: long non-coding RNA, 1387 nt
Organism: Podarcis raffonei (Aeolian wall lizard)
Lineage: Eukaryota; Metazoa; Chordata; Lepidosauria; Squamata; Lacertidae
Exons: 3
Source: RefSeq, a predicted model, not a curated record